This 429-nucleotide ribosomal RNA is filed under the name Bacteroidota bacterium. RNAcentral describes it as "Bacteroidetes bacterium partial 16S ribosomal RNA". It matches the Rfam family "Bacterial small subunit ribosomal RNA", at positions 355 to 776 of the family's 1533-position model. Lineage: Bacteria; Pseudomonadati; Bacteroidota. The record is from RNAcentral.
UAGGGAAUCUUCGGCAAUGGGGGGAACCCUGACCGAGCAACGCCGCGUGAGUGAAGAAGGUUUUCGUAUCGUAAAGCUCUGUUGUUAAGGAAGAACGAGUGUGAGAAUGGAAAGUUCAUGCUGUGACGGUACUUAACCAGAAAGGGACGGCUAACUACGUGCCAGCAGCCGCGGUAAUACGUAGGUCCCGAGCGUUGUCCGGAUUUAUUGGGCGUAAAGCGAGCGCAGGCGGUUAGAAAAGUCUGAAGUGAAAGGCAGUGGCUCAACCAUUGUAGGCUUUGGAAACUGUUUAACUUGAGUGCAGAAGGGGAGAGUGGAAUUCCAUGUGUAGCGGUGAAAUGCGUAGAUAUAUGGAGGAACACCGGUGGCGAAAGCGGCUCUCUGGUCUGUAACUGACGCUGAGGCUCGAAAGCGUGGGGAGCGAACAGG